AAAUAAAUGAAUAAAUAAAGUCGUAUCCAUGCGUCCCUCCAAAAGAUCCUGCGGGUGUAGCUCCAUCGCUGCUACAGUUACUUAACGUAAGCAUAGUUUGUGUAGCUAACAGCUAACUUCAUCCACUCAGCGACAUUCACACAAAUGUGCUAGACUGGCUGAUAUCGGGGGAACCGUCAUGUGGGACAUCUGAAGCUAUCAGUCAUGAAAGAGCCGAGGGACGGACAGUGAGGGAGGAAUCAGAGAGCGUCUCCUACUCGCUAACAUUACCCCCCCUUCUCCCCCUGUCUUUGUCACCUAGGCAACAGAGGUUCCUUAGGAUAAUAUCCUGUUUCAAUCAUCCUGAACAUCGGUUUAACCAGAACACCACGUGCCACUAAGAUUGAAUUUUUCGAACAGGUAAUGGCUGUCGAAAGGUAGGAAAUCCGUUACGAGGUGCGGUUUGAGGUUCCGUACCACCGCUCAGCCAAUCCCUGAGCUGAACGCGUUGACGACGUAGGACGUGUGAAAAGGAGGACUUCAAUAACCGUAUAUGGGCCAGAGAUUUUGUGGAAGCCGCCGGAGCUCCACUAAAACUCGCUUUACCUUUACAGCCAACUGGCAAACUUUAGGUCUGGAUGGAUGAUGAGAUGGUGAUCCAAGUUGUGACUUCACUCUGUUUCCCUACAUAUAAAAAUCUUUUGACUUUAAUUAGACGUUAAUUUACAAAGAAUAAUAUUGGGGUUUUCUGAUUCUCACAUGUAUUUCAGAUGAGCAAUAAUGAUAGUUGUGGUGGAAAUAAGUGGCUGACCAUGUGGAAAAGUAUCUUAAGCCUUGUUAAGGCCUUAAGUUUGUUUUGAGGUAUAUAUUUCAGACUAAAUGUACAGGAAAAUCAUAAAGAAUACAGAAGUCAUCAAACAUGAGCCAUAAGAACCGACUGGAGUUCAUGACUGAAUUCAGCUAAAAAGGGGCCGUGUUCCUUCUCCCUCAGAGGAGCAGAGAAGUCAGACAAUCGAUUGAUGACACGUGUUCCAGUUUUGAAAACACUGUGCCAUCGGGAGUUAGUUUCAAUCUGGAAAAGAGGUAAUAAAGUUCACAAUACGCGGGGCAUCUUUACCACCGUGAUAAACUGCUUGAAUCUGAACAGGUGAAGAGGAUCCUAAUUCAUAGAGACCGCAGAGCCAAUUUCCUGAAAAGGAGGCAAUAAUAAAUCGUUCACAAUUUGGUGGAAAAGUGUUUUGACAGAGGUGCAUCUCAUCUGCACUUUCCAUCUGAAGUGAUGAACAGAUACUACAGUCACCGUUAAUAAUUUGCUAGCCAAUAAAGGGACUGAAGCCACUAGAUUCCUUGAUAAGAGCGUUUUAGCAGUAGCUAAACGGGGAUAAGGUGCAGUAUGGAAAUGAAAUAAGUGGACCAGAAGCGAUCAAAGAGAAUAAGUAUUGAUUGAUUCUUAAAGAGCUUUAGAUGAAAUGUUUCUAUCUGUUGAUGGAAUUGUACUGAAAGCUGUAGCACUUUAAAUAACCUGGAAAUACGUCUAUAGAGACAACUUCACUGCUCGACGCUUCACAGAAUUUGUCUCAUAGCGUUGCUUUAUUGCAUGUAACGGCUAACGUUAACUAGCCUCUGAACCACAGCGGUUACUAACGGCAAGUUUAGUGGUAGGCGGAAGGUAAAAGUAAUUUUGAGAGAUGAGAAAUGACAACUUUUUUUGUUAGUUUUGUUCUGGCAAAGGGUUUCCUAUAAAUAUAAUGUUAUUGCCUUUUGCACUUUGGGAGAUGCACAACAAAAUUGCCCCAUCACUACCUGCAACUAUGCCACAUUUUGUGCUCACAGCGUGUGUCGGGUGGGAACCCAAUUUCCUGCUAAAUCAGACAAAACAAUUUGCUGCAUAAAAGGUCCAUCAAUUCCCAGCAACACAAGUAAUCAAUACUCCUGUUCAAGCCCCUGCAGUUUGUAACUGGUUGAAGCAACAACCCCGCUUAGUGAUGAUUCAGUUAAAAUAAGCAUGAUUUUACUUAACGUAUGCACAUGGCAUCAGUGAAGUAUGCAUAAUAAGUCAGCAGGGACUGGCUUUUACACAGCGCAUGGGAAGAUUUCCCCGGGGGUAAAAAUCCUUGUUUGUUUGUUUUAACUUACUGUUGCGUGGCUGCAGUAGAGCUCGCUCCAUUUAAAGCAAUAAACAGAAGGUCAUGCUUUCAUCAGCAGUGGCUCUUUGUCAGGAUCAACGUCUACUUUAUUCAACAGUGUUCUAACACUUUACUACUCAUGGCGUUUAUUUUUUAAAUAAUGUUAUUUAAAUAACAAAACAAAGAGUCUGGGCCCAGUCAGUGUUCUAAUUUACUGGGGAAAUGAACUGGAAUCAAUAGAGGCCUAAGGGCUCAUUGUUGCUCCAGGCCCUUUUAGCACGUUCAUUCAUGUAAAUAAGGAAUCACCAGGAAAACACCAGUGACUCUUUGGUAGUAUACAGUAUGAUGCAUCUACCACAUGUCUAGCAUUCAGGAAUGAACAUAUCCUCUGGUUUUGUGCUUUUCCAUUUAUUUUGUUGACUUAUUUGAAAAUGUGUUGUAUCCAAUGCUGCUUUUCUGUUGACUGCCUCCACACUAAAGUAUAAGCUACAUCUUAUUUCAGUCUCUGGCUUUGUGAAAGCGUCAGGUCAAACUCCAAGCUUCUGCUGGUGACCUUCUAAAAUCCGUGCCUUUCCAUUCCCAACACGGCAAACUAACAGUGCUGACAUCCUAGUCAGCAGCUGCAUCCUAGGAUGGUGUCAUCUAGUACGGUGAAACUGACCUGGGUUUAAUAAAUGGAUGCAAUUAUAAGCAGCUCUACCCCACCAGCACCCAGUCACCACGUUGGGUCAGGUGUGUGCUGUUAGGCUAAAAACCUAGCUGCCUGGGUGACAGUUAAAGAUUAUUUUAAUAACAUUCAGAUAAUUCAUCAAUCAACCCCUUUUGUGAUAAAGUGGAGACAAUGUAUAGUUCCCUAAGGUUUCUUUAGAGGGAACCACUGAAAGCUUUGUCAGCACUAUUUCCAUCUGCGGCUCCGCCCUCGCCAUGUUGGCAGCCAAUGGGUGCUAGCCGCCAGCUCCGCCCUCCACAACCCCAAUGGAAAUGACGUCCUUACGUUCUUUCCUCACAAUUGCUUGACUUCUUGCCUGUGUGACAUAUCUGAUGUGUGCUACUGAAUUUGAUUCCAAUGGCUUCACCGUCAACAAGUGGCAGCAGUUUUGAAAUCCUGGUUCAGGACAGAAAGACAGGCGGAACCUUUUAGGGUUUUUUUUGUGAACCUGUAUUUUUUUCCUUGGGUUUUGAGGCAGCUUUCGGUGAAUUUCAAUGGCUGGUUCCUGACGGAUUUGCAAGAUCACAUCCAUUUAAGGCGAGCAACUGCUGUACAGGCGGAUUUUUAUAUUUUAUAUGAAGUAACUGGGUACAAGUGAGCGGGUAAAUAGGGAGGUAGGUGAGGGGGAAUGGAGUUCACGUUUGAGGCAUCUGGUGCAUGGAUGGAAAAUGUGAUAUGAGAUCGAAUGGGGACAAAACAAAUAAAAGUAUUUAAAUGAAAAGCUUCUUCACCUUAAUGUUCUUUUGUACAUAUUAAUUUAACUGAGAGAAACUGAAUUGGCCCAAAAUAACACAUACCCCAUUCUGUUAUAGACAAGGUUUCAAACUUGGAAUAGGAAUCGCAAAUGAAAAUAUCCCAUCUAUGACUUCUUAAUGUGGUGGGGAGCUACUAGGCUUGGUCCGGGAUUAGUAUGCUUCACGGUGCAUCUAUCUACCCGCUAUAUUAAACCUCUGACAUUCUACAGAUUGCUGCAAAUACUGAAAUCUGGAAAUACCAGCUCAGCGAGGCAUGCAGGCAUUGACUUGUGUCGCCCACGCAUCGCUUUCUUUUGGUAGGUUCAGCGAAUCAGUUUCAGUGAACAUCCCAGUUUGAUGCAAUGCAAGAAAGGUAUUAAACAAGCUGUCACACCGCGGUGAAGUGGUUUGUUUUAUUUUGUCUGGUGUUUUUAUCUUGUCAUUUCCUGUUUUAUUUUGAAAUAGUAACUCUGCUCUCGUUUCAGGUUACGUACCCUCCGUCAUGUGUCCCCAGUCUGAUUGUGUCCACCUGUUGUCCUUGUGUACUGAUAGUCUGCGUUUCCCUUUGUCCUGUCCCAUUGUGUAUCUGCGUUCACACCAGCAUCGCCAUAGUUACGACUUUGAAACCAAGUCAUUGCGUUCUGCCCCGAUGUUUUCCUCCAAGAGGGAUUUUGUACAAUUUUGUAGCAUAGAUUUAGUUGAAUGGUCAGUUUUCUCCGUAGGAGUGAUUUUGUUUUGUUAAUCUUUCAUAGUGCCUCUGUCAAAAGAGUGCUUACCCGCUAUCUUGAUAAAGUUCAGUUUUUUUGUUUUUCCUCCUAGAGUGAAGUGACUUUUGUUAAUUUUUGUAGCCUCACUUUCUGUGAAGGGAGUUCUAGAUAAUCUUCAUAGUUUGUAUGUAUUUGUGUCUUGGAGACGUUCAGUCUUGCCAAUAAAGAUUUCAGUUAAAAAAUUAAGGUUUAUUCCUAAAAUAAUGACAUGAUAAUAAUCUCAUUCAUACAAGUCAGUAUAAAUAUAUUUUAAUAAACAUAGGUGUAAUGAAUAUCAGAAUAAAUAUAUUAUAAUUAUAUUUAUAUAUCUAACGUCGUUAGUGUGAACAUGUGUGAAAUAUAUAUAUAUAUAUAUAUAUAUAUACACACAUACAUACACACACACACACACACAUAUACAUACACAUACAUACAUACAUACAUACAUACAUACAUACAUACAUACAUACUGAGAUGAACCUAGUGUGUUAUGGAAAGACCAACUCAAAAGCACUUCAAAACUACAUAAUGAAUUAUUCUGUCCCCGUUGAUUUAAAAAGUGAGCAUGGGAAGCUAACCACGACGUUAGCACGACUACAUCUUUCUAGCCAAACCUUCCGGUGUAGCAUUUUUGCAGAAGCUUAGUAUGUGCGGCUUCCCUUUCACGCCGGUCCGUUGGCUCAUUUCUCCGUCAACAGUUCAUGGAGGAGAGAUUUUACAGAGUUCAGGUUGGGUCUUCUUGGAAGAAUACUGCUCUCACUCGUCCUGACGAGAGCGCGGCCUGGGGGCCAGUUUAUUGGCUAAAUUAUGUCACUGGUUUAUCUUUAGGUAAUCAGUAAUAAUUGGCUAAACUGCUUCUUAGACUUGCCUCUUUUAGGCCUGGCCCGAGCCCAGCUGAGACAUGAGAUAUCAAAAUCACACCAAUAUUUACUAUUUUAUGAGCCAGCCGCCACUGCAUAUACCGGUCUCUGACCCCAACCCUCCCUCAUGCGAUCAGUGGUGUAAGAAACAAAAAGAAGAGUCUGAUUGCUGCACAAGCCCCGUUCACCAAAUUGGACAAAUCCUGAAACCACUACCAUGACGAGCUUUCACUCGCGUUGAUUUUGAUGGCCCCUGAGGGGAUUUUACUACAUCUGGGUCUGACAGUCUGGGUUCAGUCUGUCGAACGAAACGAAUAUUAUUCAUGUGAUUCAAUUUGUGACUUCUUACUUUUUAUAUAGCUUGAACUACAUAGUCUGACUUAUUUUGAUGACAGACCUCAUUUGGGUGUGAGGCCUUCUAGAGAUGAAAUUUCACUAACACAAUAGGUAUGUAGCUCAUUAGCAAUUUAAGAACUGAUCACGGCCAUGAAUCACGAUUAUCUUCUUGUCCGCUAUUAGCUCCUGGCUUCCAGUACUGCUGACUAUCCGUAACUGUUUUACAUCAAGCUCAUCAUGAUGCACUUUAUCAAGCACAGUUCUUCAGUAACUGAAGGCAAGAUUGUUGUUACAACCACUGCUGUAUUAGCAGAUGUUCACCGUUUCUAUGGUGAAUCUCCAGUCCUAGCGCAAAUAUUAUAUAGCUGACUUUUAUGACACCAAGCCAUUCUUGGCUGAGACAGCAGUUGACUACUGGAAGGACGACAAAGACAAAAUAAGACUCAUGACAACUCCUUGAGAUCUUCCAAGACAACAAAUCUGCACAGCCACGUUCAAACUGCUGUCUCCUCCCCCCUCGACGAGCCGCGCUUGUUAAAGCAGGGUUCCUCUCAGCAUUCUAGGCCGCCUGGACUAAGGAAUGGCAGCAACUCCAAGUUUAGGGAUCCAUGUGUAGUUUGUGGUAGCGAUGACCAUGACGCUUUCGAUGCCAUGCUACUGGCUAUCAGGCACUAGCUUCCCCGGUGAAUCAUGGUCACGACUCACCUGCUGUUCAAUCUAGCACUCCGCCGUGGCAGGGAAACUAGCUGGCCCAUACGUGGAGGGGUCUGAGGCUCCAUUGACCCGCUGUUCUUUUUGUUUUUGUUGAACAAAUUCAAGUCAACUUUGUGAGAUGUAGUGGCCACUAUGAGUUUUUGCUAUUUUUCAUUUCUUAUAUGCCAAAAGUAAACAUUAUCUACUUGAAUUGUCACACAAAAAGCCAGUCCACUACUCCAUAGCCAAGGCUGUUAGCUUGUUGAAUAUUGUGGGGAUACUAUAGCGGGCAGAUGUCUGUAAAACUAAUCCCAAAAGUGCAGAAUAUCGUUACUACAUCCAAUUGUAGUAAUGACGUGUCACUGAGUUAAAGCGUUGUAUGAUUAUCCUAAGAUGUCUAUGACAUUGAGGCUAGGCUGAUGCUGUCCGGUAGCUUGAUGAUGGUGUCGUCUUUGUGAAUGAGACUAAACGGAUGUGACUAGAUUUAGAACACAGCCCAUUGUUCCAAUGUGCUUCUAGUUCUAAAAUAAAAUGGAUACUUCCAAUUCUUUCAGCUAUUUACUUUGUGUUUCAUGUGAUGGAUUUCAGUUUUCACUACCACAAUGGCAAAAUGGUUUUUGGUCAUCCAUCCAUCAAACAUGUGUCAACACAUUUUAUAGCAGUAAUAGCAAUGUCAAAAGUUACUCAUCCGUGUGACACAGGCAGGAGGGGGGGGGGGGUCGUGUUACUUCUUCACUGAACAUACAAGACCACUCACCAAGUUUCAUCCCUUACUGUGUAACAAUUCCCCCUCCGGUUUAACUUAAAAGGGAAUGGGCAGAUCGACUGUUAAUGGACAUCUUUCACUGCUUUAGUCUAAUAUAACAAAAUUAACCGACAGAAAUAACUCCCACCGUCUCCAAAAUUGGCAAGCAAAGCUCCGCCUCAGGCGGAAAGCGUGACGUGGCGCCGCGAGCAUCCCCCACCCCCCUCUGCGCUACCUCGCCGCAGUCCUCUCAGCUUCCAGCGUAGUCCUCUGUCCACAGUUAGUUUGGUUCGCCAUGUAAGGCAAUCGCCUCAGAGCACUGACUGCUUCGCCAUCUGCCUACACGACCCCAAAACAAAAUUCCCCCCUGUUGCUCUAUAUACAACGGCCAUGGUAAAUAAUAAUUAAAGCUGCAAGAAGCGAUGAACGGGCCUUUAGAUCAAAUUGCCCAGUAUCUGACCCAAACCUAAAAUGAGUUUGACAGCCCUGCCUCACCACUAGGCUACUGGCCAUGCUGUACUAAAAUUUGCAGAGAAAACAGAGAUGUAUUAACCUGUGAAGUCCACACCUGUGGCAGGUUCGUCCUACGGGAGGGUCUCGGAAUGACGAGCACGCAGCAGUUGGGUCCAUUGUAUGUGCUUUUAUUCACACGUUUCCAAAUAACACACGAUUGGCUCCGGCUUCCUCGUCGGCCCAGCCCCCUCUCGCCGUCGCCGGAUCUCUCCUACAUAACAGCAGGACAAACACACACACUGAUUAAACACCUGAGGCCAAUUAUGCCUCCUCCUGGCACCGUUCCCCGAACCACUGCCGUCUCCGUCCCCUCUGCAGCCGAGCCAAACCACGCCCGCCACCACAACACCUUUCUGAUUGAGUAGAGGUCUGGCAGAUACAUUUUGUUAACUGAACACACUGAAUGUGUCUCUGCUGACCGUUAUUUAAAUCUGAACGGCAACGAGGGUGGCUUCCUGAAGAGAGCAGAGCUGUGGUCAAGUGACUGCACAGACCUCUGCUUUUAUCAAGUGGAUCAUUUGGACAGAGGUCCAGUCAUGUCAGUCACAGUGGGACAUUUGACCAACAUGUUUCAUUGUUUUCAAGCCUACUCUGCUGAUAUGGGGGAGAAAUCUGCAAAGCUAGAUCAAAGCCGUGGCCUCCAAUUGGAGGAUCAAAGCAGUUGCUGGGGGUGCUUUAUGAAUACGUGUAAGGGGCACUAUUGAGCUAAAAUGGCAUUAUUAAGAAUUUAAAUCAUUUCAAGUAACUACAUCUUUAACUUGGUAAAAUUGGAGCAUAUGUAGAUCUUCAAAAGCACCUUUGCCAUGGCAACAGCAUAACACAAAACAAAAGGGUUUUAUUAACCUUUAAUAACCAUGAGAUUGUUCUGUCCCAGUCCCAGGGAGGAGUUUGUCAAAGUAUAGCGUCUAGUAAGUGCAAAAAAUAGAGGAAAUAUCACACAAAAAGAAUGACUGACUUCCUGUUAAUUUUAGAGCAUAGUCCCAAGAGACCUUUUUUGGGGUGCUAUCGAGCCAAAAUGCUAUUUGUCAGCAUUAAAAUCAUAUGAGGUAACUACAUCUUUAACUGUAAAUGUAUUUUCCAAGUUUAGUAAAGAUUAGAGCAUAUUUAGUCCCUCAAAAGCACCUUCGUUUUGACUAUGAAUUUGAACUUUUGCAUUUCCCUAUGCCAAUAGGUUGUACUAUUGUCUUUUGAAAAUCACUGCAUGGGAAUACUUCGAGGCCUCCACUAGCAUCAUGAAUAAGACAUUUUGGCCAGACAUAAAAAUGUUCCUUGGAAAUAACAUUUUAGGUUGUUUUUUUAUAUAUAUAUUGAUUGAUAUACUGAAUUGUUUGAAUAAGAUGUCCUUAUUAGGUUAAACUGAAUAAAUGUUAAAUAUUUAACACUCUCCAGACUCUCCAGAGAUGUUCAAUGGGGUUCAAGUCGGGGCUCUGGCUGGGCCACUCAAGGACAUUCACAGAGUUGUGCCGAGGAAACGAACACGCAGCAACCUAAGCCCAUUUGAAAUCCUUUUCGCAGUUCCUCCCCAUAUAGGUGUGGAAGCUCCAGGAACACCACUCCCUUCCACCACAAUGUGCGAGAAUGACAUGUUAACCUAUUGCAUUCGACUGUCUUCCACUUUGUCUGAUGUAAGAAAACAGGUUGUAGCUGCACUUCCAAGAGAAGCAACGGGUCCACUACACUGACUGCAACCAGGUGACUUCGUGGUGGUGAAGGACUUCAGGAGGAAAAGUUGGAAAGCUAAACGGUGGCAGGGUCCAUUCCAGAUUCUCCUGGUCACCCAAACAGCGGUCAAGGUAGCUGAAAGGGCAACUUGGGUCCAAGCAUCCCAUUGCAAGAAGGUUCCAGAUCCAGUACCAGCAGUGGGCUCAGGCGACCCUACCUCCACAACAAGUGUCAAUCAACCGACACCACCGAUCCAGUGACCACGGACGGGCAGUUGACCGACAGACACACAGUGCAUUGUGAUCUGUGUUGACUGUCUACAACGCGGAUGCCUCACAAGAAAGAAGGUUGGCAGACUCCACACCCCAACGUGUACCUGCGGACCAACACAAGAACAAGAACACGGCCAGGACCCCUCCACAUAGACACAGUAGUCGUUUGUGUCACUACGGUUUUAUUCAUAUUAUUGCUUGCUUCAGUUUCAUUGUAUCUCAGCAUCUUUUUGUGAUUCCGUAGUCCGCUACCUAAAGAGUGGUUCUCUCUUAUCAUGGAACGACUCUGACGUUAACCCCAACAGUGACUCGGACUCGACACAUACGCAUAGUGACGUAGUGACACACUGUCUGUGUGCAUUCCUGGUGUUCUAAAUGUUUUUUGUUUCACAGUAGCUUGCUAAAAGAAUGAGAAAUAACAUUCUCACAAAAACAGCUUUUAUCCCUGCAUUUAUUAGUAUGUAACGUAAAUAUGAUUGAUAUAAUGACCUUUCCACAAUAUUCUAUAUCUGUAUUGUGUGAAAGGGGAUCAAGUUCUGGUAUUGUGAUUUAAACAUGUUUUCAUUUCUUUUUUAUUUCAAUACUGUACACAUGACAUCUGGGGUGUAACGCUCAAAUCCUGUGAGAAGGUUUCCAGUCUUUAUCUUCUCCUAACAGAUUUCUUUCUAUUUUCCCAUUUCUGAGGUUUUUUUGGGGAGUUUUUGUUCUGUGGCAGGCAAAGUUUUGUGAGCGAUGUCCAGAUGUUCAUGUUUUGUGAUAUUUGAUGAGGUAAAUAUCAGAUGGUACAUUUUUAGAGUAGUCAUUCUAAAUUGAAUGCAUAGUUGAAAAGAGUAGAAUGUAAUGGGAAAAUGAUAUGUGACCCUUUUAAAUGCUUCAUUUGUAUAACCAGUUUAUUAGUUGCAAGUGGUUAGAUCACAAAGGCCCUGACAUAAGAACUGAUGUCUCCCACUUGGAUUAGAUGUUUCCAGCGUCAUAGCUGUAGAGAUUGAACAAAGUGUUUGUUAUGUCUAUGACCACCUUUGUUUUAGCAUGUUGGGAGAGCAAGGACACGGUCAAAGAGCUGAUGUGUCUUACAUGGAUAAGAUGUUCCCAGUACCCUGACUGUAGAUACUCAACAAGAUGGUCAAAGGUUUCUGUUGACGCCACCGAUAUCUAAACUUAGGUAUAAGAACUGCCUCGAUGUGUUGGGAAGAAAAGGAGGUUCUUGACAGUCUACUGACAACGUAGCUGUUGUGACCCUUUUUCCCUUGCAAGGAAAUAAACGGAGAAAAGACAUACUUGAUACAGAGCCUUUGUUUCUUACUUAACGAUUGUCUGUGCAAAAUCUUCCACCACAAUUAUGAUGCUGCCACCACCAUGCUUCACUGUAGGGAUGGUAUUGGCCAGGUGAUGAGCAGUGCCUGGUUUCCUUCAGACAUGACGCUUGGCAUUCAGGCCAAGAGUUCAAUCGUUGUUUCAUCCGACCAGAGAAUUUUGUUUCUCAUGGUCUGAGAGUCCUUCAGGCGGGCAAUCUCGCGCUCCCUUCUGACACGCGCACCUGUUAAGCAGUUCACUGAAUAUGAAUACCCCCCGAAAAAACACCUCAUCGAAUCUACACUUCACGUAGGGCACCUAUUUUGGUUUCAAAACGGCAAAUUUCGCCGAAAGGUGAGGGAUUUUCAUGCCUGCUGCAGAGAGGGUGAUCGGCUGCAUCUUCCGUCCCUGCAGGACUUGUUCCCGUCCAGGUCUCUGAAGCGAGCUAAAAAGAUGGUAGCCGACCCCUCUCACCCCGGACAACCCCUUCCAUCUGGCAGGAGGCUGAGGUCCAUCAGGGCUAAGACCUCCCGCCACACCAACAGUUUCUUCCCGUUUGCAGUCGGGCUCAUCAACAGAGCCAGUCCCCCACUGACUGACUCUGACAUCCCACCGGUCACUUUCUUCAUACUCCACAUGCACAUACAUAUAUAGUCACUUUCCGUUCGCUGGUGCACUUUAUUUUUAACUUAAACUUUUUAUCAUCUCUCCUGGCUCACAAUUACAUGGAUAAUUUAAACCCAUUACGUUUCAUAGAUAUAAUUAUGAACUGUGAAUGGCUGCAGCCCUUAUCUGAACACACAUUCCUUCAUUUCUAUAAUGGAAAUGUUAUUGCACUUCAUAUAAACAGCUGUGGCUCAACUAACAUGCAGCCAGAAAGGGUCACAGGAAACUUUUCGAUGCCAAACUUUUACCCCUCUAAUAAAUAAGGAGCUGUCUGUUCAGCAGACCUUGAGAUAUGUUACAUGCUGCAAUGACAAUCAAUUAGCCUGCUUUUCUCCACAGGCGCUGCCACCCUCAGACGUGCACACAUCUCCAGGAAAGUUGACAUGAUGUUUAUGAUAUAAAUAAAAGUCAGUGGGGGUGCCUGAAUUUGUAAUGUAUGCAUAAUAAUGAGACUAAUAAGCUCCCCUGUGAAUGCAUCAAAGAACAAGGGAGUGAUAAUGAAACUGUUUCUUAUUAUUUACCUCCAUAAUGAAUUUGCUUUUUUUUUUCUUUCUGUGCCAUAACCUUCAGCCUUUCCUCCUCACUCAUUUACUGAGGUGCUUCAUAAUGCAAUAAUUGGCAUGCUUAAGAAUAUUAUUUGCCUUCAAAAUUGGUUACAUGACCUGGCUUCCUAGGAGGUCAGGCGCAUUGGAGCAAUUUAAGAUUAGAAUCCCAAGUAUGCAGAAGGACACUUCAACAAGAAAACUAGAGAGUCAAUGGGCGACUGGCCAAGUCAAGAGCGUGGUCUUCCUUCAAUGAGGAAAUAUGGUUCCAUCCCCAAUUCCACGUCAACGAGUGCUUAGACACUCAAAGUUAGGUGUCAAUGAUGACAUGUAGUGUAAAAGCGUUUGUGUUCGGAAGCUAUACAAGGACACCAUUUACAGAAGCCAGUCAUCACAAGUUUGUUUUUGCGGUUAUUCUCAAUGUUCUUAUCAGCACAUAAGUAAACAAAUACAAUAUGUACAAUAUUUUAGAUUCCACUGGAAAAUGUAUCCCAACUUCGCAGUCCUAAAGUAUUAUUACAUAUUUUCUGCAGGAUUAAGUUGUCUUUUGUUACAAAUAUAUUUCUAAUGAUGGUCUAUGGAAUUAUAAUCUAUGGAAGGCCAUGUAGAGAGGACUGUACAUAUUUAAACUAUUACGUUCAAGAUUCCUUUUAAGAAGGUCCCAUGUCAAAACAAAGUCAGCGCCAUGAUCCAUGCCCCUGAGCCAGCGCCAUUUUCCAUGCCCCCGAGCCAGCGCCAUUAUCCAUGCCCCCGGCCCCCGAGCCAGCGCUACGUUCCAUGCCCCCGGCCCCCGGUACCGGCCCCGCGUUCCAUGCCCCCGCCCCGACCGGUACCGGCCCCACGUUCCAUGCCCCCGCCCCGACCAGUACCGGCCUCACAAUCCAUGCCCUUGACUCGGCCAGUGCCAGCCACGAGACUCAUGACUCUGACGCCUCCGGUCCCCGCUCCCCGACUCAGGUUCCCUCCCUCCCUCCCGUUGCCGAUUUGAGGGCCGUCUGGGAUCCGGCCCUUGAGGGGGGGGUCAUGGCAGGGGUUGCAACAGCGACUCCGGGGGCUUCCCGCUCCCUCCAGCUGGCAACUCCGGCUUCCUGCAUCCUCACGCCGACAACCGCGGAGGUGUUCCGUGCCCCCGAGCCGCCGCCAACCGCGGAGGUGUUCCGUGCCGCCGCCGACUGCGGAGGUGUUCCGAGCCGCCGCCGCCGACCGCGGACGUGUUCCGAGCCGCCGCCGCCGACCGCGGACGUGUUCCGUGCCGCCGAGCCGCCGCCGCCGACUGCGGAGGUUUUCCGUGUCCCCGUGCAGUCGCCGCUCCGGAGCCGGCCUGGUGACCGUCCGCCGGGCCGACCCCCAGAGGCUCCCCGCUCGUCUGGCCACCCGCCGGGCUGACCCCCAGAGUUUCCCGGGUGGUCCUGUCAUGCAUAAUUGUAUUGAAUGUACUGUCCAAAAUCCAAAAAUAGGAUCCUGGUGUAGGCUUCUGAGGAGUACAGAUGCUCAACAUCGUCUACAGUAUUGAUGGAUUUCCUCUGCCUUAAGAUUGCAAUGUUAAAAUGUUUAGCUGAAAGCACAUGGUUUAACAGAUUUAAUUUAAAUUUAUUGGAGAAACCAGCCAGGGUCUACCGCGAAGGCUGGGUCCUCAUGAGGAGGCAGCCCACGAAUCAAGACAUAUGGCUAGUGUGUGUCGUGAGCCCCCAAAGUCACAGCUCUAGACAUGAUUCAAGGCAAUGUUGCUCAAAUGUUCUGACUUGUGAGGAAUGUGCAGAAAAGUUUGUAUGACUAAAACCGUGUGCAAAAAAUCCAGGUAAUUUGGAAUACGUCCUUGUAAAGUAUUACUUUCACCACUUCUAACAUUUGAGCAAAUUAUUUUUCCUCCAACUUAAUUUCAAGAAAUGACAAAGACACAUCAAGUUCAGGAAACCUUUUUGAAACUUUCUGUACAAAAUAAGGUUUUCAAUAAACUGAAAGAUCUCCAUGUUCCAGUGCUUCCUCCACAUCAAGUAAUUGGACAAAAUUAAAGCCAGGCAAGGUCUCUAGCUUCCUCUUUUACUCUAUUAUUUUCUUUCAAACACAAAAAUACACCCAACAGCUGCAAUCUGCAACAACAUAAUACAUAAUUAUGGUCAAAAUGGAGCACAGAAAAUAAAAGUAUUAGAUAAAUAGCCCAUCAUAUAUGGCCUGCCAAUUCAUUAAACCUUAACACAAACCAAAAGGCAAACUAGUUAAUUUUAAUGACUUUUGAAUAUCAUCAGCGGAGUAGUUAAAUACCCGUCAUAAGAAUGAAAGCAAUGUCUUUCUCCACACUGCACAGCGUUCAUAUAGCGGAUACCACUGCCACCCUGAUGUUGUUGACGCCCAAAGCCUUGGUUUCCCCUCAGGUUCUAAUGUUGCCUUUCUGACUAUUGCUGUUAGUAAACUGCCAUCCACCAGAACACAAAUCGGUUUUCAGAGCCGUGUGCAUGCAGUUAAUUGUCAAUUGUUAAUUGGGUUUAGCUUUAGCAGUUCUGGGUUUAGCAGUUCACAGCGGUCACAGAAAAUGAUGAUGAAAGUGUUGUGUGUGCCCAACCUGUCUAGCUGAGGCGCCGGUGUAGCAUCUAACCCGAGCAGCUCACCAGGUUCCACUACAGAGGACCCUUCUACAUGACUCUGACAGGGGUGUCUGCCCCGCCAAACCUGACGGCGAGUCUGGACCAGGGUGGAUAUCUGACGUCCAAGUACCCUCGACACAAGGGCAAACGCCUGCGGUGAGGCGUCACUGAGGCCGGUGGCGGAAGCUUUGAUAGCAGCCUGCUGCAGAGAAGUCGAGAGUGCAGGCAUGAGGUGGGGAAGGGAGUUCCCAGUACGGCCCAUGGGGGCUGGUGCGUCAUAAGCCUUAGAUUAAAGAUCGUCAAUGACCCGACAUUGGGGAUGAGGGCACCCAGCAUCAGGCCUCAGGGUCUCCUCAGGGAAAACUUGGCUGGCGUACGGGCAAGGCCGCCAGGACUCGACCUUCAGACGCAAAACAGGACAGAGCCCUGGUGUCUCACCAGCAGGCAUGCUGCCUCAGAUAUUCUUCUGAGGGAGGAACAGAAAAGGGUGUGGAGGCGGGAACGCUCCUAGUGAAGGCACUCACAGGCUGAUGUUUGGGCUGCUGUGUGUCUAAUUGCAGGUGUACCAGCACAGUGCCAAUGGACAACCCCACGGAGCUAUCAACUGUUCCUUCUUCUGUGUUGAGGAACGUGAGCCGGGGCCAGGAGUAUGGUUAAGCCACUCUUUGCUGUACUCAGUAAUGAGAUUGGCUGACACUGCUGGUGAGAUAAUGUCCUCCUCAGGGCAGGUGUGGCUUCAUCAAUGAUGUCCCUUCUGAAAUGACUAAGUUACUUCGCAACGGCUACCAUUUUGGAAUCGGCAUUUAAAUGCCUUCAACAGCUUGCAGUGCAUUAGCGUGUAGACGUGUAAUAGCAUUUCAUGCGACAGGUUUUUUAAGGAAAGAAUUGCUGAAGGUCUCUGAAACUACAGGGAUAAAGACCAUAACGUAGUUCAUAAAUACGAGAUAUGGGUUAAAAAGUAAUUACAGUUCCUCCUCGGCAAGGUGGAUAUUGGCCAAUGGCUUUUUGCUUGUUACAUUUGUCUUUGUGAUUUUCAGUUCAUUUUAUUUGUUCGUCGUCUGGCAUUUUGGAGAAUAGGGCAAUGAAUAGUGCAUUGAGCAUCAACGCAGAAAUACGGUACAUGGCAUGUACAGCACGCUCAGAGCCGUUGCUGCUUAGCGCAGUACGAGUAGGAAAAACGCUUCAGUUCCUCCAGCCUGGAUGUAAAAUUUAAGCACACAUUGUAUAUGCUUUUAACUAAUUCACUCUGAAAGCACUAAACCUAUUAUUCAUACAGUGUGGGUUGUUGUGAUACCUUGAAUGAGUAGCAGCAGGGUCAGGGGGGCUUAGCAAAGGGUCAAUUGACUGCCUCUGACAGCCAUUGUUUGUGCCUAAUAGCGCCCUCGCCCCCAAUAAUUCAGUUGAUAUGCAUUGGCUGUCCUAUUGUAACCUUAAAAUAAUGUGAAAGGGUGAAAUAAGGUGUGUCACAAACACAUCAACAGUGAGAUGGUCUUUACCCACCGGGCGAGCUGGUUUUAGUUGGCAGACCUCGCCUGGUUCGUCAGAACGCCACAUCCUUCCUAAAAAAGCGAAGUAGGUGUAAAUUAUCCAACGUAUUCCUGCUGGAUAAACAGUAUAAAUUGAAGCCUAUUUUUAAUAUCAGCAAUGCUGUGGUCCAUAGACUAUGGACCUUGAAAUGUGACGGUUCUCGCAUUGAUAAUUCCUCUUGUGUGCGUGAUCGAUAACACAAGCUGGCACAGAUCAAUUUUCCAUGUCAUCAAAGUUAAGUAUAGUACAAGGGAGCAUAAUCUCAUAUUGGACUCUUAUGUGUGUAGGUUUUGUGAAUGGCAUUGUAUGUGGGGAAGGCAUGUUAUUGUUAUAAUUAUUUGUAAACUAGAGACAUUUCUGAAGAUUUGUGGAACUUGCCGACUGAUCCUAUUAUUUUCUAUAUAAAUUGUGUCUGCUUGUGUUCUUUUUUAUGGCAUUAUGACUGAGUUUUCUCUACUACUUGCCAUGGUUGUGCUGUUUCCAUGGGAGGUACAUGACUUUUAUAGUGCUGAAGACAAAAUUGGAGGUAAAGUGGCUUUAACAUUUAGAGUAUGCUCGGCUAUACAAAUAUGAAGCUAAAUGCUAGUUAUUUUUAUUCAUAAUUUUUUAUAGAAGGUUACUUUUCAGCCAAGUGAUCUUUAAAGAAGGAUUUCAGAAAUAAAAAAUAUAAAGCAAUCCAGUGCAGAAAAGUAAUAAUACCUAAAUCUGUGAACAAGAACCAUGUCAAUCUUGCUUUUUAGUCAUAAUAAAAUGUGUUGAUAGUACAAUAGUAAUACAUGUUUUUGUGAAAUCACGCUGUUGCUGGCAUCAGAGACAUGCAUACCAUUCAUUAGUCACUAGGGGAUACACAUGAGAAUAGUUUAUGCUGCUAACAGUUGCAUCUGUUAGAGACAUAUUAUGUAGGUGUGUGUUUGUAACAACAAGCUGGGAGGUGAUGGAAAAAGAAUGGAUAUCUAACCAUCUGGCUAGAUAUUCAUUCCUUAGGUAAAAAAUGUGUUAACUAAAUGUGGAAGCAACAAAAAUAACCAUAAAUUGAUUAGAAAGUUUUCUUUCCUCCUCCAGACAGGAGCAGAGGUGUUGGUCCUAGUUUGAAGGCCUCGAUCCAUCAGGAGCCACAUGAAGCCAGGAAUGCAAAAUGAGACUUUCUAAAGGGAAUCUGUUGCUGGGAAACCUUUUGACAUACAGACAACCUGGAGUUCACUUUCAUUAGAUUUUUACAUGUGUCCUGACAGAACAAAACAUCCCACACAUUUACAUGACAAUGCCUUCUGAUUGUUCUUGAGCUUAAUUCAUUUUUAAAAGCUAAAGCAGCAGUGCCUGUUUAUAAUCGAAAGGGAUCACUGUCCCGGAGCACGUUCCUCUCGCUCUUUCUCACUUACUCAUUCAGAAAAUUCCACCUCGAAUGGCCCAAAUGGAGAGUUAUUCAAAAGUAUCAUUAACCCUCUUGGCUCUUCAUUGUGUUGUUUUCCCUGAGGGAAAUGGAAUCCGUAUUCAGUUUGAUGAGGAACUGCAGCGUUUCCUUUGUUUGGGCCCCAGAUGGAGGGAAGCUGAUACUUGAUUGUGUGAAUGUGAUUGUGCCCUGAACUCUGGAGUAAAUGGGACUGGAUAAUGGUCACUUCUCUUCAGCUCUCCAAAGCCAUUUACUUUCUGCCCUAGAUUCUAAACCUUAAUAAAGAGCAAGAAUUUACACAUUGCCUCAUACUGGAUGCCUGUUUCUUAAGGACAGAUCUAAACCCCCAGCAGCCUUGUUAUGGUGCUGUGGUCUUCUGACCAGGGUUUGUCUCGUUAGCAUAAAAAUAAUAAAAGUACUAGUUGCUUUUUUUCUUCUAAACAUAAAUAAUUCAUCACCAUCUGGAAAGGAGAGCUCCAAUGGAAGAUAACCUAACCCAACUGGGACCUAAGGAUACUCUACUACAAAGACUGCUGCUUGCUGCCCCAUGGCCAGUCGUAGAAAAACAAGACGGGUAAAAGCAGUCAGUGACCGUUGAUCCCAGUUCUUCACUGAGACAUGGAUCCAUUGUGCAUCCUGAAUAAAGCUGCACUUUACUGGUGUGUCCAAACAAGACAGCAGCACAAGAUGCUAUUUGGUAUUCAGAGCAGUUAGGUGUGUUGUUUCUUUUACUUACACACAUCAUACUCCCUACAGAGUAACAUGACCCUCCCAGGCUCCUAAACCUCCCAUCUGGAGGGGGAGGUCAUUGCAAAUAACUGCCUUAGAUAAUUCACAACAUUUGAAUCAGCAUGAGGGGUCUGCAGAGAUCAGUCUCCUAGAGCUCAACUCCAGUGCAUAGUGGCAGGACCACAAUGACCUUUUCUUUGGUCCUACUUAAAUGCACAGAGGAUGUAUUAACCACACAUCUUCUAGCAAUGCGCUCAACUGGCAGAAAUGAUGCUGUAUGACGUGUCUGUUCCCUGCAAGCCCCAAACUUCUAUUGGCUUUCCAUAAAAAUGUCUGUCCGGGUGGAGAUGAAGCCAGGAAACUUGUGCAAGAACAUGUUUAAAUGCCGUACCCUUUGACACCACAUUAACAACUAUAAACUGCUUUAUAAUGGCUGGUCGUAGUUCUGCUAGAGGGUCAAGGACGGGUUCCUCAAAACUGUUAGUGUUUCCACACCACUUAGCAUGAACACAUGCUGACCUUUAUGCUCUGCAUCUAUCGAUUGAGUAAGUUACAUUCAUAUAUGUUACCCGUUUACAUGUCAUGGCAAAACCUUCAACCUCAGUGACACAAGGGUACAUGUGAUGAUACAUUGUCAACAUUGCAUGUCUGUCAGACUCAUCCAAGAGUGUCUGGUGGAAUGGAGAAAGAGGCACCACUGUACAGAUUUCUAGGGAAAGUCGUUCUGCUGACACCAAAACACUGCUUUACAUAAAGCAUAUUAGCUGUUUCAAAGUCCCAACCAUUUGUCUUCCUAAAAUACUGGUCCUUCUGUCUAACAAUAACCUCGUAUCUGAUUGGAGGACCCUUAGACUCCUCGUCCAAUCACGUGUGAGGUCAUAGACAUGACUCAGACAGCAGUACUUGCAAGACGAGCACACAAACAGACACGCGUGUGUUACUAUAUUCAGAAGAACUGUAUCUCCAGUUCCUUUGUUUGGUUUUUGCUGCUUCGUGAAUAAUGGCUGGACGACGUCUUGCGUUCAACUCCUCUCCGCGGUCACCAACUUUCAGCCAGUCCGCAGACAGACGAGAAGAAGCUGCUGAAAGCUCUCAGUGGAUCGUCUCGUCAACUCCAGCAACAAAUUGCCGAUAUCAACGAGCGGUUCGCGUUCGGGAAUCUCCAGGUUUCUGUCCAUGGAGGAGAGGAACCGACUCAAAGAAGAGGAGACGGGCGCACAAUCCCAAGAAAGCGGUAAGAAUACGUUCGAUAACUGCAAGCUAAGCUAAAAGUAGCGUAGCCUCAAGCUAAGCUAAGAGUAGCCUAGUAGCCUUACAAGUGAGCAGAAACAGCUUUAUUAAAGUCUAUUUUCUUUGCCGUGUCGUUUACAGGAAGCGGUGCGCCGUCUUCACAACUCCGAGACGAAUUACAGGCGCUACGAACCGGAGCAAGGGUCAGAUUUACAGAAUAUGCUUUCAUUCUGCGGUAUAAGGGAAUAUAUACGUAUAGAUAACGAUCAUAACUGUACAUUUUGUUUUCACAGACUAAUCUCGCCUCAUAAUGAGGCGGUGACCUCGUAUUUGCUCCAGGAAAAGUCCAGAUUUAGACGACGUCAUUGUGUGUAAGUGACACUGUUUCUCCUUCCUUGUUAAAUGUUACUGUGACUUACGAUUUUUUUUGUAUUCAUACCACACUCAUUUAAUUGUUUUCCAGCCGCCUGUGAGACGUAUUGUGAGAGGGGACGCAGGAGCUUCAGGUUCAGGCGGAACACUCAUUGCGGGCGGAAGCUGCGAAGGAUUCAGCGCGGAGUCGAGCGAGAAGAAAGACGGUCAGAGUUUAUUUGCUGACUUGUUUCAGGUGCAUUGAUCGCUGUGUUGUGUCCGUACGCAUCGCACAGUACUGAUUCAUUGUUGUUUUUACAGCUGCUGGAAUCGAGACAAAGUGUGCUGGCUGAUGACGAGGUGGAAAUCCGCCACCGUGGAGCUCACGUCGGACGGAGGGGACGGCGUUGUUGGCGGGGUGUCGAGGUGGAUUGUACGGUCGCCACACGCACACGAGCUGCCUGCACAACAGACCUGCCUCGGAAAACACGGCGCCAGUGACGGUCAACAACCGUCACUGGCGCCCAAACUUGAAAAGAGCCUCUGAUCAAGUUUAGUGAAGGUGCAUUAGGUCCCAUUAGUGACCCCCUGCCAUAAAGCAAAGUGUGAGUUCCAGGUUUCAACAGCUAACAGAACCGUAUUCACCGUUUGUUGUUACAUGAAACACUCUGUCCAUCAUGACAACUAUGCCUGGACUAACACAGUUUCUUGGACACGGCACACACUGCUUUUCUAUGCAAGUCUUUGGGCUGCAACAGACAUAUUUUUGCUUUCUCCAUGGGACUUCUGACAAACUAUGAGAAGGAGCUUUGACUUCCAGGGACUCUCAAAUAGGUCUUGUUUCUGCAACAAGAGUACCGUUGGAUCUUUUCUACAACACAAAGUCAUGACGGUCAUCUUUGAGGAGUGUCAAGUUUCGUGUGAUUUUUCGGACUGACUACGACUCUGCCCAAACUUGAAAAGAGCUUCCUCUCCCGUGGACGCAAAGGACAACUCAAGAACUGUUGAUUUUAUGAUCCUUUAUUUCUCUUAAGGGUGGUUCGGUGGAUCAGACAAAGAACAGACAAAGAAUCUCUCUGGGAGAUAAGGAGCUGUGGUCACAGUGUCCUUUUCCUCAGGACCGAGUGAGAGGGCCAUCUGAGCUCUCCACAAACAUUUUAUGCCAUGCGCUUCCUGUUUGUACGCAGGCACUUCCUGUGGGUGGAAUCACCAUUAGCCGCAUCGUCGCCCCCUGCAGUCUGGGUGUGCUCCGACUGUCCGGGGUGGAUAUGGACCUUGAGUGCUCUGUGCGGCUUGUGACCGGAGAUUGACGCAACAAGGAGAACGUGUGUUUUUGCCGCCCUGUGUGCCUUUGGUGAUGUUCCAUCUCAGCCAAUGUUUUCGUCACCUGAGGACCUGAGAUUUUUGCUGUUCCUCACCAUCUUUAAUGCCUGUAGGUGAUUCUCAAAUGGGAAGGACGACACAUCGUUCAGUGAGCACUUGGAAGUGUGUAAUAUCCUCAUCCAAAUGCUACACAACUGUGGACAUUGUAGGGUGGAAGCAUAACCAAGAUAUGCCUCCCUCUUCUCAGAAUCAGACUCUAGGAGAAUUGAAUUGUCCACAGUCAAUGGAAGAAAGUGUUCGUAGAAGUUGUCCAAAUAGGUGCCUAGUGGAACCACAGGCCCUGGGUACAACAGGAACUGGCGGAACUCUGUUGCCUUCCAGCGAUCGAUUUCUUGGAAAGAACGAGGUUGCCUUGCAAACUCUGUUGGCGUGACACCCUGCAGCCUUAUCAUGCGUUAUGAGAUUUCCUGCCUCAGUAUUGGUGCCAGCGUGCAAUUCUCAGGUCCACGCAACAGAUAAAUAAGCAAACUUUUUACUACACAAAGACAAACUAGGUGCAUAUAGUCCAAGGCAAAUAUUUAACACAUAGGACUCCAGCAGAGGUGAUUAUUGUUUCUGAUGGCCUGCAUAAAAGACUUGAUAAAAAGCUGCAUCUGACCUGGACUAAAAAAUGUCUUUGGAGGGGUAGGUGACCCUUCUCUGGACAGUUACGGUAGUUGCCACAGACCGCUCGCAUCCUUGUAAUCCAUUAUGGCCAGUAAUGCACUUUAAGAAAGCCCUUGCCGCCUUCAUUUGACCUGAUGCAAUGCCCUCAUAAACUAAACACUUUUGCUGCAGAGACUUAAUUUCCUCGAUCAAGUCCUAUAAAUAUUUAUUGACUUUUGCGGGCUUUUCUUUAGCACAAAAUAGUGCUACCAGGAAUGGUUUGGCCUUUUGGAAUAAAGCCAAUAUAGGCCAAAACUGCAAUUUGGACAUUUUAAAAAGAGGAACGCUAUCUACAUUUAAAACUAACUGAAUAUGUCCUGUGAAAUUUGGACACUGUGUUGCAAGAGGCUCCUCUCUAGGCAAUAAUAUAAAUAUUGUCCAUUGCAUAUGUGUAUACAACUAACUGCCCAUGGGAUGGAAAGCAGUGUGCGAGCAUCUUUGGGAAGGUGAGACCCAUGUUUUCUCAGAACAAGGAGAAGUUCGUUGACAUUUCUGUGUGUUUGUUUAGUGUUGGUAGCCCAAUUAGCUAAAUCUCUAGCUAAAUUAGGAUCUUCAUCUCCAGAAUCAGAUUCUGUAACAAGAUCUGAGUCAUUUGAAUAUGGAUCCUUUGUAUAUCCUAAAUCAGCUCCAUCUCUCUCAUCGUCACUUGAUUCUUCGUGUGUAGGGAAGGCAGACAUUACAAAUUUGCCUCAGAGGGCUUUACAGUCUGUACACAUGCGACAUCCUCUGUCCCGAAACCCUCACAUGGGCACAGGAAAAACUCCCCCAAAAAUGAAAAACAGGGAAGAAACCUCAGUGAGAACGUCAGAGGAGGGAUCCCACUCCCGGAAUGGACAGACUAGACUUGCGUUUUACAGUUUUAGAUGACAUGCACAUGUAAAAAUAAGAAAAAGAACACCUGCACACAUAUAUGGGUGUUAACAGACCAUCAAAACAUUGUUAGGAUUUUGAUCGAAUAGUCUGUUUUAUUUUGGAUAUGAUUGGGUAUGUUUUCUUCAGAGAGUUCUUUGUUUAAAGUGGUACUUCACAUUGCUGCUUUUCAUCACGGCCUCUGAACAUUUAUGAGACAUCCUGGUUUUCGUAAUUUAUUUUUAAGUCUUUCCAUUGUCCAAGGAUCGCAUUCACCACGUUUGUCUUUUUGAAGAGCGUCAUGUGAAAUAACUGACAUACUUUGACUGUUUAGCCUCUCGUGGAGGGAUUUGUACAUAAUAUCUGUGCUCAUCUCAAGCUGCAAUCCUUAUUGUAUUAGACAUGUGAUUGGCUGAUGAGGAUAUAUAAUGCAUUUUAUUGGUUGUUGUGUUUCCUGGACCUCUGAACAAGUUUAGUGAAGGUGCAUUAGGUCCCAUUAGUGACCCCCUGCCAUAAAGCAAAGUGUGAGUUCCAGGUUUCAACAGCUAACAGAACCGUAUUCACCGUUUGUUGUUACAUGAAACACUCUGUCCAUCAUGACAACUACCUAAAGUUACCAACCUGAGAAGUCGGGCAGUAGGUAUGAUCUGCUCAGUUUUUGAGGAAAGAUACAUCGGAUGACACAAGUGUGCACAAUGGGUGCAAGUAUGCAAUGUGUAUGAAUGAGCUGAAUUUGUGUUCCAAGUGUUGCACAACUCGUCAUUCAGCCUCCCUGUGUAAAGAAGGUUGGCACUGGACUGUUAAAUCCUCAUCAUCUGCAUCAGUUACUUCUGAUAAUUGGUCAGCAUCGCAACAAAGAUACAUUAGAUCACAAGAGCGGCAGUGAUGUUUUUGUUUACAGAUAAUUUGAGUCUUGAAUGUCAAUUUAAGAAGGUUUAAAUACAACUUAAGUUACCAUCCAUAUUGUAGGUAAGAGCAAGAGGAAAACAAAUGGACACUUUAAUAGAUACUUUUAGUUAACACUAUCAGUUUUGUGCUACAUUUUAAGAUUUUUUGCCAUCAACACAACCUAUGCAAAUAUACCUUUUUACAUUAUCUACAUGCUGUCAUUAUUACUACUGCUGCAUUAAUCAAUCUUUGUCCACACGGUUUUCUUUUCCAUAUGAAAAUAAUUUUUAUUCAACAAAUAUCCUAAAAAAUUAGAAAAUCCUGGGCUGGACAACGUUAUUAUUAUGAUUGUGCUUAUUUUUAUUUAUCAUAAUUGUUAGUAUUGAUAUUAUACCUGUGGGCGGCACGGUGGCGUGGUGGUUAGCACUGUCGCCUCACAGCAAGAAGGUCCUGGGUUCGAUUCCGCCCAGUGGCCUUUCUGUGUGGAGUCUGCAUGUUCUCCCUGUGUCUGCGUGGGUUCUCUCCGGGUUCUCCGGCUUUCUCCCACAGUCCAAAGACAUGCUCUGGGGAUCAGGUUAAUUGGGGACUUUAAAUUGCCCGUAGAUGUGUGAAUGGUUGUAUGUCUCUGUGUAGCCCUGCAAUUUGCUGGCGACCAAUCCAGGAUGUACCCUGUCUAUCGCCCGAAGUUGGCUGGGAUGGACUCCAGCCCCCCGCGACCCUGUGUGCAGGAUAAGCGGUUUGACGAUGGAUGGAUGGAUGGAUGGAUGGAUGGAUGCAUAUUAUACCUUCCAAUUUGUACUGAGAAAAGAUGUCUCCACAAAACAUCCACAUAAAUGAUCAUUUCAUUGGAGUGCUGUAUAUUUCUUAAGCAAUCACUGAAAUGUUGACCUAGCACCAACAGGAAAAUGUCUGCAACCGAAAAAAAUCUGCAACCGAAAAAAAUAACAGUGAAUAUCAAAAAAUAAAUAUAAGUGAAGAAUGAAAAAAUAUAUAUUUUAUUGUCAAAGAGUCAAAACUAUAUUCAACCCGAAAAUAUAUAUCAGCUGUAGCUUUCUGAUUGACUUGUGGACACACCGUUAAAGUAGUAGUCUUUUCCAAAUGAUGUUGAGACGCAAGUCCUCUAAUCCUUCCUUAUAUUCUUUUAGAUGAUAGGCUGAUUUUGGAACUGUCUUGUUGUGGCUGUUCAUUUUGAGGUCCGAAUUAUUUAUUACUAUUACACCUAGAUUCAUGGUUGGUUAGUGGCUUUUAACAUCAGUCAUUGACGUAAAGCUCACUGCUCACUGAAAGUGCUGACUUUCAAUCGUCUAAUAAGCACAUAAAUGUAAUUUAGUGAACAUUGGAAUUUUACCUCAGAAACACUAAAAAGAAAACACUGCAGUAAUACUGUCAAUUUGAGUUUAAACAAACAAAACUGACCAAAUAAGGGGUUCAUUGUCAGUUUGAUUUUACUUUACAACCAAUUUUACAUCAAUUCUUAUAGACUUGAAUAAAUGUUAAAUUCAACAUUGGGUGCAUUGGUUCCCCUUCUCUUCGACAAUGUUUCUGCAAAUUAUUAAUGAAACCACAGGGUAAGUGAGGCAAACGAUUUCCUGUCGGAGAAAAAAAGGUUUCAUCUCUCUCAUGCUUCACUCUCUUUCCACUCCUGCUUCUCAGGGAUUUUUUAUAACAUUCUACUUUAAGCUUUCCUGUCACCCAUCAAUCGUGAAAGUUAAACAAAAGAACUGCUCACUUGUCGUUAAACGGGCAGAGCGCUUCAGGUGAAUGUUUCCCCUCUUCCAAAAACACUUUUGGUUGAAUUCCUCCUGCUGCAGAGCAGAUGCAUCCUGCGCGGUAAUUUCAAUCUCAUAAAGAGGGGUUGAGAUCCUCCUUUUAAAAUGCAACACCGGUCGUUUUUCCCCUCGCCCACCCCCUGUGGACCUGGAAACGCUGCAACAAGUUUUUUACUGACUGCAUUGUCCACUUCUCGCUUCUAAAGAGGGCUGAAUUCUAAAUGGGUCGUGUUUAAUUCACCGCUGCAGAAUGUCCGGUUGAGCAGCCAUCUCUCCGCAGAGGCUAAGAGUUCAACACAUCACUCACCACAGGCAGACAUCUCUCCUAUUCAACACAUAAUGAAAAAUGCUAAGAAAGCCUCAGGCAAGUGGCAAUAUCUUAAAGUCAAAGUCACCUUGGGACGUCCACUUGUUGGACCACAUGCUGCUGCAUUGUUAUCUUUUCACUUUUCCAUUUCAUCUUCUACUCGUUUCACUUUCACUCCUGCUCUCUGGCCUCCUCUGUUAUAACUCUGAAAGUAUCACAGGUUUUUGGACUGGCUGUGGUCUAAUUCCCAAACAUUUUUAUCACAACUCUUCAAAGAUUAAUGUCAGGUCACUUUCUAAUGCACUGGGUAGCCCAGUAUGCCAACCCGUAUGGAUUGCCUUUCAGUUUGGUUUCAAACAAAAACACUCACCAGC
Gasterosteus aculeatus aculeatus (three-spined stickleback) is the source of this 25900-nucleotide long non-coding RNA. The record is from Ensembl. NCBI's taxonomy places the organism in Eukaryota, Metazoa, Chordata, Actinopteri, Perciformes, Gasterosteidae.